This 446-nucleotide ribosomal RNA is filed under the name uncultured bacterium. RNAcentral's name for it is "partial 16S ribosomal RNA". It matches the Rfam family "Bacterial small subunit ribosomal RNA", at positions 338 to 795 of the family's 1533-position model. The record is from RNAcentral.
CCUACGGGAGGCAGCAGUCGAGAAUCAUUCACAAUGGGGGAAACCCUGAUGGUGCGACGCCGCGUGGGGGAAUGAAGGUCUUCGGAUUGUAAACCCCUGUCAUGUGGGAGCAAAUUAAAAAGAUAGUACCCCAAGAGGAAGAGACGGCUAACUCUGUGCCAGCAGCCGCGGUAAUACAGAGGUCUCAAGCGUUGUUCGGAAUCACUGGGCGUAAAGCGUGCGUAGGCUGUUUCGUAAGUCGUGUGUGAAAGGCGCGGGCUCAACCCGCGGACGGCACAUGAUACUGCGAGACUAGAGUAAUGGAGGGGGAACCGGAAUUCUCGGUGUAGCAGUGAAAUGCGUAGAUAUCGAGAGGAACACUCGUGGCGAAGGCGGGUUCCUGGACAGUAACUGACGCUGAGGCACGAAGGCCAGGGGAGCGAAAGGGAUUAGAUACCCUAGUAGUC